This 253-nucleotide ribosomal RNA is filed under the name uncultured bacterium. Its description in RNAcentral is "partial 16S ribosomal RNA". It matches the Rfam family "Bacterial small subunit ribosomal RNA", at positions 524 to 776 of the family's 1533-position model. The record is from RNAcentral.
UACGAAGGGGGCUAGCGUUGCUCGGAAUCACUGGGCGUAAAGCGCACGUAGGCGGCUUCUUAAGUCAGGGGUGAAAUCCUGGAGCUCAACUCCAGAACUGCCUUUGAUACUGGGGAGCUCGAGUCCGGGAGAGGUGAGUGGAAUUCCUAGUGUAGAGGUGAAAUUCGUAGAUAUUAGGAAGAACACCGGUGGCGAAGGCGGCCCACUGGUCCGGUACUGACGCUGAGGUGCGAAAGCGUGGGGAGCAAACAGG